CGGGGCGGCCCCGCUCCGGCAGCGGCGGCGGCUCCUGCGGGCAGCGCUGGGCUGGUAGGGCGAGGAGUGGCAGCCGCCGGGCGGAGAGAGAUGCGCGCACACACCAGCGCGGAGAGAGAGAGGGAGGAUGGAUGGAGCGAUGCACAGAGCCAAAAGGACGUAGAGACACCCAGCAGGAAAGGGAGAAAGAGAGAGGGGAAAUGCUCAGAGCUGACGAGAACUGCACGGUGAUCAGUGGAAAGGGGAGGAGAGAGAGGCAGAAUUGAGGGACAUCUCUCAGGGGAGACGGACACUUGCAAGGGAAGAGCGGGUGAGGGAGGCUGCGAAGACGCUCUAAUCUGAUUAACGGGAGAGCGAGCCCGGAGAGGAGCGGCGGCGGCAGCAGCCACAGCGGGAGGCAGGUGGCACCUCCUCAGUCUCUUAGAGCUCCGUGACCGAGUGCAGACAGAGAAGAAAAAGUCACCUGGAAACCUCUCUCCACCUCCCUCCUUCCCAUCCCGUUUGUCUGGGGAGUCCCAUGCCUGCCGUUAUCUGGGAUGGCAAAGCCUGAGAGCUGGCACAGAAAGAAAUCGGGGCUCCUUUAUAUGCACUGUACGUAGGAGGGGGAAAAAAAAUCCCCCCCGUGAGGCUGUCAAGGUCCUCAGUAUACAAUUUUCUGUCUAUCUCGGCGCCUCUCACCAAGCCGCCCCCUCCCUUGCGUGUGACGCAGAUGUGCUCUGGGGCCGUCAGUGUGAAGAGACAGAGAGAAAAGGAGAUGCUUCAAGCUUCGUCAUGCAAGAAUGGACAACUUCUGACUUCUGACUUCUGACUUCUGACUUCAUUCUCUUUCUGGAAAUCCUAACAAGAAAAUACAUGUAGUUUUUCUCUUGGGGAUUUCUGACUGCCAUUUUAAUUUUAAAGUAACUUUAAUGACAAUGAAAUCUUUAUUUACAAUGCAUUUCAUUCUUUCACAUCUAUCACAAUCAGAUAAUGCAUUAAAAAGAAGCAAGCAAAAGUUACAUUUUUUUUUUCAGAAAUAUAUAAUUUCUUUAAAAGAAUUCUUCAGCACGGAAUGCAGCUCUUGUCACUUCUCCUGUCCUUCCUUUUGAAAAGUAAAGAUGCGUCUUUGUCUAUGAUUAUGUGUACAAAUGGUCUUUCGAUUGUUUACAUUCAGUGUCUGACCAAAUUAAAAAACUCAAAUAUUUGAGAAUGGUUUUUUUAAUCCACCUAUUCACACUUUCAUUUGAACUGAGUGUCCCAAAGUGUAUACUGCUGGGGCUUUUUCCAUUGGAAAAAAAAAAUGCUGUGUGGUUUAGAUUAGAGUAUCAUAAUUGUAGGAACAGCUUGAUAGUUUUCCAUCCAAAUGUCAUGACACUUAGAGUAAUAACUGUUAACACAACUUAUUCUUGAAGAUGACUAGUGACCGAUUUGCAAAAAGGAGCCAGAAGUGAUUUAGCUGUUAAACAUUGCAGAUGAACAAGAGUGAAAAUCUUUCCCUUGUCUGAAUUGGAGAGAGAUGGAUUUG
Molecule: long non-coding RNA, 1504 nt
Filed under: Lonchura striata (white-rumped munia)
Lineage: Eukaryota; Metazoa; Chordata; Aves; Passeriformes; Estrildidae
Description: domestica (Bengalese finch) lncRNA (ENSLSDG00000001981.1)
Source: RNAcentral